GUGUGUGUUAAAAAAAAAAAAAAAUUUAAAAAAAAAAAAUCGAUUUGUUUUUUUUUUCUUGUUCCCUUUGCUGGUCGAUGGGUUGGUUAGCUUCUGUGACCCAUCCGAACUCUAACGAGAUCAUUGA
Molecule: non-coding RNA, 127 nt
Filed under: Pteridomonas danica
Lineage: Eukaryota; Dictyochophyceae; Pedinellales
Source: RNAcentral